RNAcentral lists this ribosomal RNA (3112 nucleotides) under Salmonella enterica subsp. enterica serovar Typhimurium. RNAcentral describes it as "23S ribosomal RNA". It matches the Rfam family "Bacterial large subunit ribosomal RNA". Lineage: Bacteria; Pseudomonadati; Pseudomonadota; Gammaproteobacteria; Enterobacterales; Enterobacteriaceae. The record is from RNAcentral.
GGGUUGUGAGGUUAAGCGACUAAGCGUACACGGUGGAUGCCCUGGCAGUCAGAGGCGAUGAAGGGCGUGCUAAUCUGCGAUAAGCGCCGGUAAGGUGAUAUGAACCGUUAUAACCGGCGAUACCCGAAUGGGGAAACCCAGUGUGAUUCGUCACACUAUCAUUAACUGAAUCCAUAGGUUAAUGAGGCGAACCGGGGGAACUGAAACAUCUAAGUACCCCGAGGAAAAGAAAUCAACCGAGAUUCCCCCAGUAGCGGCGAGCGAACGGGGAGGAGCCCAGAGCCUGAAUCAGCAUGUGUGUUAGUGGAAGCGUCUGGAAAGGCGCGCGAUACAGGGUGACAGCCCCGUACACAAAAGCGCAUGUGCUGUGAGCUCGAUGAGUAGGGCGGGACACGUGGUAUCCUGUCUGAAUAUGGGGGGACCAUCCUCCAAGGCUAAAUACUCCUGACUGACCGAUAGUGAACCAGUACCGUGAGGGAAAGGCGAAAAGAACCCCGGCGAGGGGAGUGAAAAAGAACCUGAAACCGUGUACGUACAAGCAGUGGGAGCCCCACCACUAAGCCAGUGGUGAACUCCACAUCCGCAUCCUUUGCUGAGGAUACGGUUAACGGAGCGAAAGCGACGUUCAACCGCAAAACAAGCAGAGGGGGCUUAGUGGUGGGGUGACUGCGUACCUUUUGUAUAAUGGGUCAGCGACUUAUAUUCUGUAGCAAGGUUAACCGUAUAGGGGAGCCGGAGGGAAACCGAGUCUUAAUUGGGCGUUAAGUUGCAGGGUAUAGACCCGAAACCCGGUGAUCUAGCCAUGGGCAGGUUGAAGGUUGGGUAACACUAACUGGAGGACCGAACCGACUAAUGUUGAAAAAUUAGCGGAUGACCUGUGGCUGGGGGUGAAAGGCCAAUCAAACCGGGAGAUAGCUGGUUCUCCCCGAAAGCUAUUUAGGUAGCGCCUCGUGAAUUCAUCUCCGGGGGUAGAGCACUGUUUCGGCUAGGGGGCCAUCCCGGCUUACCAACCCGAUGCAAACUGCGAAUACCGGAGAAUGUUAUCACGGGAGACACACGGCGGGUGCUAACGUCCGUCGUGAAGAGGGAAACAACCCAGACCGCCAGCUAAGGUCCCAAAGUCAUGGUUAAGUGGGAAACGAUGUGGGAAGGCCCAGACAGCCAGGAUGUUGGCUUAGAAGCAGCCAUCAUUUAAAGAAAGCGUAAUAGCUCACUGGUCGAGUCGGCCUGCGCGGAAGAUGUAACGGGGCUAAACCAUGCACCGAAGCUGCGGCAGCGAACGUAUCACCCAAGACAACUUUACGGAGUUGACGAUUGACGGAGCGAAGCGACGUCAAAGCGUUCAUUAAAGUCGAGUUGGCUUAGGGAUACGUUCGUUGGGUAGGGGAGCGUUCUGUAAGCCUGUGAAGGUGUGUCGUGAGGCAUGCUGGAGGUAUCAGAAGUGCGAAUGCUGACAUAAGUAACGAUAAAGCGGGUGAAAAGCCCGCUCGCCGGAAGACCAAGGGUUCCUGUCCAACGUUAAUCGGGGCAGGGUGAGUCGACCCCUAAGGCGAGGCCGAAAGGCGUAGUCGAUGGGAAACGGGUUAAUAUUCCCGUACUUGGUGUUACUGCGAAGGGGGGACGGAGAAGGCUAUGUUGGCCGGGCGACGGUUGUCCCGGUUUAAGCGUGUAGGUGUGUGUUCCAGGUAAAUCCGGUUCACUUUAACACUGAGGCGUGACGACGAGGCACUACGGUGCUGAAGCAACAAAUGCCCUGCUUCCAGGAAAAGCCUCUAAGCAUCAGGUAACAUCAAAUCGUACCCCAAACCGACACAGGUGGUCAGGUAGAGAAUACCAAGGCGCUUGAGAGAACUCGGGUGAAGGAACUAGGCAAAAUGGUGCCGUAACUUCGGGAGAAGGCACGCUGACACGUAGGUGAAGUGAUUUACUCAUGGAGCUGAAGUCAGUCGAAGAUACCAGCUGGCUGCAACUGUUUAUUAAAAACACAGCACUGUGCAAACACGAAAGUGGACGUAUACGGUGUGACGCCUGCCCGGUGCCGGAAGGUUAAUUGAUGGGGUCAGCGCAAGCGAAGCUCCUGAUCGAAGCCCCGGUAAACGGCGGCCGUAACUAUAACGGUCCUAAGGUAGCGAAAUUCCUUGUCGGGUAAGUUCCGACCUGCACGAAUGGCGUAAUGAUGGCCAGGCUGUCUCCACCCGAGACUCAGUGAAAUUGAACUCGCUGUGAAGAUGCAGUGUACCCGCGGCAAGACGGAAAGACCCCGUGAACCUUUACUAUAGCUUGACACUGAACAUUGAGCCUUGAUGUGUAGGAUAGGUGGGAGGCUUUGAAGUGUGGACGCCAGUCUGCAUGGAGCCGACCUUGAAAUACCACCCUUUAAUGUUUGAUGUUCUAACGUGGACCCGUUACCCGGGUUGCGGACAGUGUCUGGUGGGUAGUUUGACUGGGGCGGUCUCCUCCUAAAGAGUAACGGAGGAGCACGAAGGUUGGCUAAUCCUGGUCGGACAUCAGGAGGUUAGUGCAAUGGCAUAAGCCAGCUUGACUGCGAGCGUGACGGCGCGAGCAGGUGCGAAAGCAGGUCAUAGUGAUCCGGUGGUUCUGAAUGGAAGGGCCAUCGCUCAACGGAUAAAAGGUACUCCGGGGAUAACAGGCUGAUACCGCCCAAGAGUUCAUAUCGACGGCGGUGUUUGGCACCUCGAUGUCGGCUCAUCACAUCCUGGGGCUGAAGUAGGUCCCAAGGGUAUGGCUGUUCGCCAUUUAAAGUGGUACGCGAGCUGGGUUUAGAACGUCGUGAGACAGUUCGGUCCCUAUCUGCCGUGGGCGCUGGAGAACUGAGGGGGGCUGCUCCUAGUACGAGAGGACCGGAGUGGACGCAUCACUGGUGUUCGGGUUGUCAUGCCAAUGGCACUGCCCGGUAGCUAAAUGCGGAAGAGAUAAGUGCUGAAAGCAUCUAAGCACGAAACUUGCCCCGAGAUGAGUUCUCCCUGAGACUUAGAGUCUCCUGAAGGAACGUUGAAGACGACGACGUUGAUAGGCCGGGUGUGUAAGCGCAGCGAUGCGUUGAGCUAACCGGUACUAAUGAACCGUGAGGCUUAACCUUACAACGCCGAAG